Dermacentor albipictus is the source of this 814-nucleotide long non-coding RNA. RefSeq lists it as uncharacterized. Lineage: Eukaryota; Metazoa; Arthropoda; Arachnida; Ixodida; Ixodidae. The record is from RefSeq and is a predicted model, not a curated record.
UGGGGUACCCUCAAAGCUAUGCUGUACUUUUCAUGCAUUUUAAAAUGGUCAAUUUGACAUAUGUGAUUGGCUGUGGCAUUCUGAGAGAAACAAGGCCUCUUGUGAAUAAUGCAUAUAUGCAUUAUUAGCAUUUUCUAAUACUCUUUCAAGAAGCAGCCUAUAGGCUGCUCCCCGAAGAAGUGACCACCUUUGCUUACGCUACGUGGCAGUCUGGUCCAGUUUACUUAACCUGUCUGCCAUCUAUGCACGAAAAGGAGGAGAGAAGCGAAAAAAGGGACCUUCGAUUUAUGUUUUUGCACAGAUGGCUCAUACAUUGCACUUUUCUUAUCUCGCAUGCUUUGUUAACUCAAAGCUUUCUAUGGGCGAAUAUCAGCAUUUCAUUCCUAUUUAUACCUAAUAAGAAUUACUUAGUUCACAGUGUCACUUUUUAUAUUAUACUUUUGUGAGACUAAGCUCACUUGUUUUAAUGCAAGUGUGGCUGGGCCUGCAGAAAGAGUAAGCAGACUACUGUGUUGCUGAUCAGUGCUGAUCUCCACGUCCGAGCUGGUCCCACAACAUCCAGGCACCACUGUGCUUUGCUUCAUUGACAAGGUGUGGCUGGGCCUGCAGAAAAGCUGUAAGGAGACUGCAGUGUUGCUGAUCAGUGCUGAUCUCCACGUCCGAGCUGGUCCCACAACAUCCAGGCACCACUGUGCUUUCACAAGAUGCAUACGAGCACUGUUUCAAAAACACCGAGCACUGCGGAUACGGAGGCAAGGAGGCUGAAGGACCUGAACAAGCACCUGGCCACCAUGCUUCGGAAUACAAAAUAAAG